UCUUGUUAUGUUCUUUCUCUUCUCUCCUACGUUGUCUGUCUUUUUCUAAGUGCUUGGCGAACCCCACAACAGAUGAGAAAGCUGUCAUUCCUACCGCUACAGCUAAUGUCGUAUCCUUAAUAUGGUAAGCCAAACCGCCAACAAACCUGCGAAUCUUUGCUUUUUCUAUCUUAACCAUGUGAGGAGCAUGCUUAACUGAGGUCGUAUCCUUAAUGUGGUAAGCCAAACCCAACAACCCUGUGAAUCUUUGCUUUUUCUGUCUUACCAUGUGAGGAGCAUACUUAGCUAACCUUAUGAAUUCCAAGUAGUACUCUUGCACACUUUUAUUCCCUUGCUUGAGCUGUUCGAACUCUGUAGCCUUAGCUGUCGUAUCCUCUUCUUGGAUAAAGUUAGCUAUAAAGGCCUCUUCAAAUUCUUCCUAAGUAGGUGGACCAUCAUCUUCAUCUCUCUCUUUUUCCCACAUCUCAAACCAAGCGCCAGCCACAUCUCUAAGUUGGUAAGCAGCAAGCUCCAACUUUCUUUUUCCCACAUCUCAAACCAAGCGCCAACCACAUCUCUAAGCUGGUAAGCAUCUAGCUCCACUGCUUUGUCAUCAAAUACCUUCAUCACUCAGAGGGCUUUCUUAAC
This 627-nucleotide long non-coding RNA is filed under the name Nicotiana benthamiana. RNAcentral's name for it is "long non-coding RNA (NBEN_LNC022380)". The record is from RNAcentral. Lineage: Eukaryota; Viridiplantae; Streptophyta; Magnoliopsida; Solanales; Solanaceae.